ACUCUGUGAAGGGCUGAUUCACCAUCUCCAGAGACAAUGCCAAGAACAAGCUCUACCUGCAAAUGAACAGACUGAGAGUUGUGGAUACGGCUGUGUAUUACUGUGU
This is a long non-coding RNA of Phyllostomus discolor (pale spear-nosed bat), 106 nucleotides long. RefSeq lists it as uncharacterized. Lineage: Eukaryota; Metazoa; Chordata; Mammalia; Chiroptera; Phyllostomidae. The transcript is spliced from 3 exons. The record is from RefSeq and is a predicted model, not a curated record.